This 406-nucleotide ribosomal RNA is filed under the name Salmonella enterica subsp. enterica serovar Enteritidis. RNAcentral's name for it is "partial 23S ribosomal RNA". It matches the Rfam family "Bacterial large subunit ribosomal RNA", at positions 160 to 605 of the family's 2925-position model. Lineage: Bacteria; Pseudomonadati; Pseudomonadota; Gammaproteobacteria; Enterobacterales; Enterobacteriaceae. The record is from RNAcentral.
GAAUCCAUAGGUUAAUGAGGCGAACCGGGGGAACUGAAACAUCUAAGUACCCCGAGGAAAAGAAAUCAACCGAGAUUCCCCCAGUAGCGGCGAGCGAACGGGGAGGAGCCCAGAGCCUGAAUCAGCAUGUGUGUUAGUGGAAGCGUCUGGAAAGGCGCGCGAUACAGGGUGACAGCCCCGUACACAAAAGCGCAUGUGCUGUGAGCUCGAUGAGUAGGGCGGGACACGUGGUAUCCUGUCUGAAUAUGGGGGGACCAUCCUCCAAGGCUAAAUACUCCUGACUGACCGAUAGUGAACCAGUACCGUGAGGGAAAGGCGAAAAGAACCCCGGCGAGGGGAGUGAAAAAGAACCUGAAACCGUGUACGUACAAGCAGUGGGAGCACCCUUUGGGUGUGACUGCGUACC